This 233-nucleotide ribosomal RNA is filed under the name uncultured bacterium. RNAcentral's name for it is "partial 16S ribosomal RNA". It matches the Rfam family "Bacterial small subunit ribosomal RNA", at positions 118 to 347 of the family's 1533-position model. The record is from RNAcentral.
UGAGCAAUCUGCCCUUCUCAUCGGAAUAAGCGUUGGAAACGACGUCUAAUGCCGAAUACGACCUCCUUUCGCAUGAUCGGAGGUGGAAAGCUCCGGCGGAGAAGGAUGAGCUCACGGCCUAUCAGCUAGUUGGUGUGGGUAAUGGCCCACCAAGGCGACGACGGGUAGCCGGCCUGAGAGGGUGACCCGGCCACACUGGGACUGAGACACGGCCCAGACUCCUACGGGAGCAG